GCGGGCGUGGCGGAAUUGGCAGACGCGUACGGUUCAGGUCCGUAUGAGGGUUCCCUCAUGAAGGUUCAAGUCCUUUCGCCCGCACCA
Molecule: transfer RNA, 87 nt
Filed under: Atopobium sp.
Lineage: Bacteria; Bacillati; Actinomycetota; Coriobacteriia; Coriobacteriales; Atopobiaceae
Also listed under: 13 other names
Description: tRNA-Leu
Rfam family: tRNA
About the family: Transfer RNA (tRNA) molecules are approximately 80 nucleotides in length.
Source: RNAcentral